AAGUCGAGCGGUAACAGGAAUUAGCUUGCUAAUUCGCUGACGAGCGGCGGACGGGUGAGUAAUGCCUGGGAAUAUGCCUUAGUGUGGGGGAUAACUAUUGGAAACGAUAGCUAAUACCGCAUAACGUCUUCGGACCAAAGAGGGGGACCUUCGGGCCUCUCGCGCUAAGAUUAGCCCAGGUGGGAUUAGCUAGUUGGUGAGGUAAAGGCUCACCAAGGCAACGAUCCCUAGCUGGUCUGAGAGGAUGAUCAGCCACACUGGAACUGAGACACGGUCCAGACUCCUACGGGAGGCAGCAGUGGGGAAUAUUGCACAAUGGGGGAAACCCUGAUGCAGCCAUGCCGCGUGUAUGAAGAAGGCCUUCGGGUUGUAAAGUACUUUCAGUCGUGAGGAAGGGUAUGUAGUUAAUAGCUGCAUGCCUUGACGUUAGCGACAGAAGAAGCACCGGCUAACUCCGUGCCAGCAGCCGCGGUAAUACGGAGGGUGCGAGCGUUAAUCGGAAU
Molecule: ribosomal RNA, 503 nt
Filed under: uncultured Photobacterium sp.
Lineage: Bacteria; Pseudomonadati; Pseudomonadota; Gammaproteobacteria; Vibrionales; Vibrionaceae
Description: bacterial SSU rRNA
Rfam family: Bacterial small subunit ribosomal RNA
Source: RNAcentral